Non-coding RNA from Gorilla gorilla gorilla (western lowland gorilla), 148 nucleotides. It matches the Rfam family "Metazoan signal recognition particle RNA". Rfam says of the family: The signal recognition particle (SRP) is a universally conserved ribonucleoprotein. NCBI's taxonomy places the organism in Eukaryota, Metazoa, Chordata, Mammalia, Primates, Hominidae. The record is from Rfam.
GCCAGGUGUGGUGGCACACACCUGUAGUCCCAGCUACUCAGGAGGCUGAGGCAGGAGGAUUGCUUGAGCCCAGGGAGUUGAGGCUGCAGUGAGCCAUGAUUGUACCACUGCACUCCGGUCUGGGCAACAGAGUGAGACCCUGUCUCAA